RNAcentral lists this ribosomal RNA (301 nucleotides) under uncultured bacterium. RNAcentral's name for it is "partial 16S ribosomal RNA". It matches the Rfam family "Bacterial small subunit ribosomal RNA", at positions 509 to 809 of the family's 1533-position model. The record is from RNAcentral.
CAGUCGCCGCGGGAAUACGUAGGUGGCAAGCGUUGUCCGGAAUUAUUGGGCGUAAAGGGCUCGCAGGCGGUUUCUUAAGUCUGAUGUGAAAGCCCCCGGCUCAACCGGGGAGGGUCAUUGGAAACUGGGAAACUUGAGUGCAGAAGAGGAGAGUGGAAUUCCACGUGUAGCGGUGAAAUGCGUAGAGAUGUGGAGGAACACCAGUGGCGAAGGCGACUCUCUGGUCUGUAACUGACGCUGAGGAGCGAAAGCGUGGAGAGCGAACAGGAUUAGAGACCCCAGUAGUCCCUGUCUCUUAUCA